GACGAACGCUGGCUGCGUGCUUAACACAUGCAAGUCGAACGCUGAAACCCUGGUGCUUGCACCGGGGUGGAUGAGUGGCGAACGGGUGAGUAACACGUGAGUAACCUGCCCCCGACUUCGGGAUAAGCCCGGGAAACUGGGUCUAAUACCGGAUAUGAGCGCCCCUCGCAUGAGGGAUGCUGGAAAGUCUUUUCGGUUGGGGAUGGGCUCGCGGCCUAUCAGUUUGUUGGUGAGGUAAUGGCUCACCAAGACGACGACGGGUAGCCGGCCUGAGAGGGCGACCGGCCACACUGGGACGGAGACACGGCCCAGACUCCUACGGGAGGCAGCAGUGGGGAAUAUUGCACAAUGGGGAAAACCCUGAUGCAGCGACGCAGCGUGCGGGAUGACGGCCUUCGGGUUGUAAACCGCUUUCAGCAGGGAAGAAGCCCCUUGGGGUGACGGUACCUGCAGAAGAAGUACCGGCUAACUACGUGCCAGCCGCCGCAGUAA
Molecule: ribosomal RNA, 492 nt
Filed under: uncultured bacterium
Lineage: Bacteria
Description: partial 16S ribosomal RNA
Rfam family: Bacterial small subunit ribosomal RNA
Source: RNAcentral